RNAcentral lists this ribosomal RNA (253 nucleotides) under uncultured bacterium. RNAcentral's name for it is "partial 16S ribosomal RNA". It matches the Rfam family "Bacterial small subunit ribosomal RNA", at positions 524 to 776 of the family's 1533-position model. The record is from RNAcentral.
UACGGAGGAUCCAAGCGUUAUCCGGAAUCAUUGGGCGUAAAGCGCGCGCAGGCGGUCCUUUAAGUCUGAUGUGAAAGCCCACGGCUCAACCGUGGAGGGUCAUUGGAAACUGGGAGACUUGAGUGCAGGAGAGAAGAGUGGAAUUCCACGUGUAGCGGUGAAAUGCGUAGAGAUGUGGAGGAACACCAGUGGCGAAGGCGACUCUUUGGCCUGUAACUGACGCUGAGGCGCGAAAGCGUGGGGAGCAAACAGG